UUCUCCCUCCCUUGUCCUCUUCUCUCUCUAUGGCCAAUCUGCCAUCUCUAACCAGACUGAUUAUUCUUUCAAAACUAUUUUCACUGUGCUCUCCUCAAGAACCUUCAAGGCUUCCUUUACUUACCCAGAGAGGUCCACGUUGCUUGUCGUAGAUUCCAAGGCUGCCUCUAGGGAGGCCUCUCACCCCCUUUCCAGCCUGGUCACUUGCCCAUCACCCCUGCUUGGCUCGAAACUUUUCACAUGUUUCCCAGCUCUGCACACGUACCUCUGUGCUUUUGGCCACUCCACCCGCUCUGCCUGAAACUCUCUCCUCUCCUCACUGUUGUGAAAAAUACCCAUCUUUCAGGGCACAGCCCCACCCCCUCCACGCAGCUGUCAGUUGCCAUUCCAGGGUGAUUUUCUCCUCUGGGUUUGCAUGGGGUUCAGUGUUUGUCCCGUUCACCUGGCACAUGGUCACAUCCUGCCUGUUGUCUGGUGUUUGCUUUUAUUGUUACUAUUUCUCAACCUAAGUAAUGUACACCCUCCCUUAGAGGAAAAAGCUCUCCUGGAUACGUGGGACUACAUCCCUGAACCCCAGCUGGAAGAACAUUAUUUUAUAUACCUUCUUGUAUUGUUUUUUAACACUUGAUUGUUGACAUACUCCAUACGUACGUGCAUCUUAUUUGAGAGCAGGAACUCCUGGGUCUACCAUAAGGCCAGGAAGUGCCCCCAGCUCACCAGGAUAUACCUGCUUUGUCUAGGGGAGUCUUCUGUGGUUGGUAUGUGGUGAGCCAGGAGAUCUGCCAGGGCUUUGGCUGGGGUGAGAACUGUAGCACAUGGUGGAAGAGUUGGCAUUGUUUAAGUUUCUUCUAAGCUGCUGUCACCAACUUCAUGAGUUUUCUUCACUGAGGUGUGUUGGUUUUGUUUUCCCCCCUUCUCUCCCACAGAUUGUGCUUCUUGGUCAGACCUCGCAUCAAGAAUAUGCGGUAGACAACGAGGGGGGAGUCAAGGAAUGGAGGGAAUACGGGGAUAUGUGUAUAAAAACAUAUGAUUGAACUUGGUGUACCCCCCCAAAAAAUAAUAAAUAAAUAAAAUUUAAAAAAAUAAAAGAAAAAAAAAGCAACAACAAAAAAGUUACACCCUAAAAAAAAAAAAAAAAAAAAAAAGAAUAUGCGGUACAUUGCCAGUGAGUGUGCCAUGGUGUUCAUUGUAACUAAGACUUGGGAAAGGGGGGAAGGUCUGAGGGCCUUGGCCAUAGGAACUCUGUCCCCUUGUAAAGUCUCUCUGCUUCCUUGCUUCUGGUCUAACAAAGGCCCAUGGCUUUCUGGGUUGCAUCCCUUCUGUCUGUAGAUCUUGUCAAUGCUGACAAAAUGGCUGGCCGAACUCGGAAAUACAAAGUGAUCUUCAGCCCUCAGAAGCUCUACUCUCUGAAGCUGUUACCAAAAUUCAAGGGCAGUGAGGCCACACAACACCAAGACAUCAGCGUUUGGAGCAGAGAAUGGUUAAUUACAGGGCCAUGCAAGGAGAUGGGUGGCUCAUGCCUGAAAACCCCCCCAAAACGUGAAAGCUUUCAGCAAAGCCCUCUUAUGGGAAAGGUAAGCAAGGGGUGUGGUUCGUUGUUGCAAACUUCUAGGUGUCAGCUCCUUGGUUCUUGAGGUCAGGUCGUGGUCAGGUAAUGAUGUUCCUGUAAAUCUCCACCUAACACAUUACUCGCUAAGCUGACAAGAAAGGACAAGGUCCCAAGG
Molecule: RNA transcript, 1724 nt
Organism: Hippopotamus amphibius kiboko
Lineage: Eukaryota; Metazoa; Chordata; Mammalia; Artiodactyla; Hippopotamidae
Gene name: vacuolar protein sorting-associated protein 33B-like
Exons: 2
Source: RefSeq, a predicted model, not a curated record